RNAcentral lists this ribosomal RNA (503 nucleotides) under uncultured Acidobacteriota bacterium. RNAcentral's name for it is "bacterial SSU rRNA". It matches the Rfam family "Bacterial small subunit ribosomal RNA", at positions 355 to 874 of the family's 1533-position model. The record is from RNAcentral. Lineage: Bacteria; Pseudomonadati; Acidobacteriota.
UCGGGAAUUUUGGGCAAUGGGCGAAAGCCUGACCCAGCAACGCCGCGUGAAGGAUGAAGUAUUUCGGUAUGUAAACUUCGAAAGAAUGGGAAGAAUAAAUGACGGUACCAUUUAUAAGGUCCGGCUAACUACGUGCCAGCAGCCGCGGUAAUACGUAGGGACCAAGCGUUGUUCGGAUUUACUGGGCGUAAAGGGCGCGUAGGCGGCGUGUCAAGUCAGCUGUGAAAUCUUGAGGCUUAACCUCAAGCGGUCAGCUGAUACUGAUGUGCUAGAGUGCAGAAAGGGCAAUCGGAAUUCUUGGUGUAGCGGUGAAAUGCGUAGAUAUCAAGAGGAACACCUGAGGCGAAGGCGGGUUGCUAGGCUGACACUGACGCUGAGGCGCGAAAGCCAGGGGGAGCAAACGGGAUUAGAUACCCCGGUAGUCCUGGCCCUAAACGAUGAAUACUUGGUGUCUGGAGUUAUUAUUGCUCCGGGUGCCGUCGCUAACGUUUAGUAUUCCGCCU